Suncus etruscus (white-toothed pygmy shrew) is the source of this 123-nucleotide small nuclear RNA. The record is from RefSeq and is a predicted model, not a curated record. Lineage: Eukaryota; Metazoa; Chordata; Mammalia; Eulipotyphla; Soricidae.
GUGUUUUAUGAAAGGAGAGAAGGUUGGCACUCCCCUUAAUAAGGAUGGAAGAGGCUUUGGCCUGUAACACUCAUACUAUUAAGGCACAGACACAUACUUCGUGGCAUCCGACCAAUGUUUUAG